UAGACAGAUAGAGGUGCGAUUUUUAAAAGUACGCUAACCCAGAAGAGGCAAAGGGUUAGCGAAAAGGAAAAAUCGCCGAAGUGACUAGUGGAGCCAAGCUAGUAGUUGCUGGUUUUGAAUAAAAUAUAUUCAAGACUGUCAUGAAAAUCAAUUAUUUGAUUCUUAUGGAGGACUAUCAACAAA
Molecule: non-coding RNA, 183 nt
Filed under: Carnobacterium iners
Lineage: Bacteria; Bacillati; Bacillota; Bacilli; Lactobacillales; Carnobacteriaceae
Description: Lysine sequence
Rfam family: Lysine riboswitch aptamer
About the family: Riboswitches are metabolite binding domains within certain messenger RNAs that serve as precision sensors for their corresponding targets. Allosteric rearrangement of mRNA structure is mediated by ligand binding, and this results in modulation of gene expression.
Source: Rfam by way of RNAcentral